Molecule: long non-coding RNA, 1067 nt
Organism: Juglans regia (Persian walnut)
Lineage: Eukaryota; Viridiplantae; Streptophyta; Magnoliopsida; Fagales; Juglandaceae
Exons: 4
Source: RefSeq, a predicted model, not a curated record
UGGUCGCUAAUUUUCGAUGAAACUGAUGCCAAACUGAAAUGAUGUGUUUCCAUUCCCAUUCUUUGAUUUGAAUUCCUUCGCCUAAAAACGCCUCCAUCUCUCUUGUUUCCCACGCCGAACAGCCCCCCUGGUCUUGUCUCUCACCAGCUCUUCUCUUCCCCCCCCUCUCUCUCUCUCUCUCUCCCCUUUCGACCUCCUCGAACUGCCUUAUGCUUCCCAGCCCCAGCCAAUCCCAUCACCCAUAGCCCUCGAACCCUGAGGUUUGAAGAGCCAAAAUUUCUUUCUUUUCCUGUUUUUCUGAAAAAAGACAAAGAUGCCAAGACUCUCACAAGGAGGAGCUGCUUGAAGCCAUUGCACAUCUGGAUCGCAAAGCAUAUGCCACUUUCGAAGACCAGCAAACAGUUGGUCAGUUGACAGAAGACUGAGGAGAGACACUAUUUUCAGCAUUGAGAAGGGUAGGAGGGAGUGCUUUCAGUAACAUGGCGGUUGGUUACAACAACAUUGAUGUCAAUGCUGCUAACAAGUAUGUUGUUGCUGUUGGAAACACUCCUGUUUAUUCGAAACCUGCUUAAAGGACAGACUGUUGGGGGUGAUUCGAGUUGGUCACAUUGGAUCUGCUUAUGCCAAAAGGAUGGUUGAAGGAUUCAAGAUGCACCUAAUUUACUAUGAUCUUUACCAGGCCACACGCCUAGAAAAGUUUGUGACAGGCAUGUCAAAGUGAACCAUUGAUGUUAAAAAGUUAUGUGCUUCUUUUUCUCAGAAUGAAAAGAAAAGGAGAGGGAAAACUUGUGCACGAGUUUAUGCUCUUUUUCUCAGAAGUGGUCAAGGAACUGCUCCUUGUGUAUGAGUUUAUGCAGAGGUGAAACUUGGAUCAUCAUCUUUGUAGAAGUAUAACUUUUAGGAGAAAAUCGAGAAAAUAAAAUCACUUGUGCAUGGAUUAUAUGUAAAUGAGAUUUUUUGUUAGUUUUUAGUCUUUUGCCAUGUAUGCAUAUUUAUGCUAUCAAGUGUUUUAUGCUUCCUAAGUUUAGAUGAACAUUUGAUAUACGUGUUUCUUGCCUUCCUCCUUU